GUAAAAUUAGACAUUUGAUGUGAUUUAAUCCUUUGGGACUACAGGACUUGCUAGUGCUCUAGACUAGUCUUCACGGUCUCUAUAACAAACAGUUACAGAAAAGCACCUGCAGAGAGAGAUUUAUGCUCUGUGUCUCACAUCCUGAGGCAGAUGGAGUGAAUCAUCACUGCAGGUACCACUUUAUCUUCAGACCAAGGAGGAACCUGGAGGUCUAACUGUGGCCUGAUGUCUAAUCGUUAGAUGACCAGAGUUUCUGACAAUGCAGCCACACCUCGUUCUGGAAAUUGCAGCUACCUCAGAAAUUCUGCAAGCUAUCCUGAAAGACAGUAUAAUGGAGACUGGGAAGUAUUCUGAAGUUGCUGUGGAUAAACAAAGAAGUUCUGCAGCACACAGCAAGACAGAAAGGAAUGCUUCUGCAACUGAGAUGUCAUCAGAAGAUUUGAUAAAGGGCUAAGCUUAAAUUAAUUAAAAAUAUAAUAAAAUCAAGCUACACACAUUGGAGAACCCA
Molecule: long non-coding RNA, 508 nt
Filed under: Anser brachyrhynchus (Pink-footed goose)
Lineage: Eukaryota; Metazoa; Chordata; Aves; Anseriformes; Anatidae
Description: lncRNA (ENSABRG00000003707.1)
Source: RNAcentral